AUAUUAAAAUGAAUAUUUACUGUUUGCAUGGCAGCAGAUGCUCUGAUGCAGAGGCCGGAGGAUCCUCUGCAGGGUGCUGCACAAGGAGCCUGCAGAACAGAGAGUGCAGCUCUGCAGCGCACAGCCGGCUGCCGGCCUCACUAACAGAGCCCCAGGGGGUCACUCGAUGCGCCUGGAGUGCUGGUCCUGCAGCCCGGUGAGGAGGACGGGCGGGGGGAGAGACUGGACCCUCCUCACUCAGCCGGCCCGGGACUGUGGACACGCCUGCUGUUCCCUCCUCACCCCCGACGCCGCAGCCUGGGGGGAGAACAGCGACUCGGGUCAGGGCACCUACAGCCAGCUCACCGGGAAGGGCACCAACGGGCUGGAGGCCGCACACACCCACCCCAGCUUGGAGGACGGAGAGACGGACCCGGACGACACCUCGGCCUUCGACUACUCCUCCGUAACCUCCGGCAGCCCUGACGGCACCCUGCGGGGGGAGCAGCUGGACAGCGGGGAGGAGGAGGACAGCCAAGAGCCGGUGCUGCUGAAGCCGUCGUACAGCCAGCAGAGGGAGGCCCCCAGAGAGAGGACUGUGUGUCUGAGGUGGCAGAUCCCCAGACUAACCCCUCACCCCCCGCUGAGGAGCCCCGCGGGCCCGACGCCCUGCCUCGUCCGCUCCUACGGGAAGAAGCUGGUCAGUGUCCGGAAGGGCUCGCCCCCCCUGCACCCGAAGAGUGCCUUCAGGCCCAUCUGGGACGACCCAUCCAAACAGCAGGCGGAUGCCGCUCCGGAGAAAGACAACAGAGGCUUCAUCCCGAUUCAAACUCCAGCGAGGAAAAACUUUCACAACUUCAACCCGAGCAGACAAAACCUGAGACUGGGCCCGGCGCCGCAGAGAGGAAACCCUGCAGCGGCCCACAGCGGGGGGGAACUGUGGGAGGACAGCGAGGACAGC
Molecule: long non-coding RNA, 940 nt
Filed under: Cottoperca gobio
Lineage: Eukaryota; Metazoa; Chordata; Actinopteri; Perciformes; Bovichtidae
Description: lncRNA (ENSCGOG00000022434.1)
Source: RNAcentral